Molecule: long non-coding RNA, 452 nt
Organism: Humulus lupulus (European hop)
Lineage: Eukaryota; Viridiplantae; Streptophyta; Magnoliopsida; Rosales; Cannabaceae
Exons: 3
Source: RefSeq, a predicted model, not a curated record
GGUAUGUCGAGUAUCCCGACAAAGGUCCAUGGUAUGAACUGUUGGUCAUUCCACUUCGUUUUGAGCUACUUUGUUCAAUCAUGAUCCCCAUAUCAAUUAAGGUGUCCCUUGACCUUGUGAAGAGCUUGUAUGCAAAGUUUAUUGAUUGGGAUGAUAAAAUGAUUGACCAUGAGACUAUUACUCCAGCCCAUGCAACAAAUACAGCAAUCAGCGAGGACUUGGGCUAGGUUGAGUACAUUUUGACUGACAAAACUGGUACUCUAACAGAAAAUAAGAUGAUCUUUAGAAGGUGCUGUAUCAGUGGCAUUUUCUAUGGAAAUGAGACAGGAGAUGCCUUAAAAGGUAUGGUGUUUUUCUGAACAAAUAUUUCUGUUAAACUUAUGUAGUUAUUAACUUAAUUUGGGGUUGUAAAUUGGUGUUAAGUUGACCUUACAUCAAAAAUGUAUUUUGGG